This 468-nucleotide ribosomal RNA is filed under the name uncultured bacterium. Its description in RNAcentral is "bacterial SSU rRNA". It matches the Rfam family "Bacterial small subunit ribosomal RNA", at positions 329 to 794 of the family's 1533-position model. The record is from RNAcentral.
UACCAGACUCCUACGGGAGGCAGCAGUGAGGAAUAUUGGUCAAUGGGCGCGAGCCUGAACCAGCCAAGUCGCGUGAGGGAUGACGGCCCUACGGGUUGUAAACCUCUUUUGUCGGGGAGCAAAUUCCGUUACGUGUAACGGAGUCGAGAGUACCCGAAGAAAAAGCAUCGGCUAACUCCGCGCCAGCAGCCGCGGUAAUACGGAGGAUGCGAGCGUUAUCCGGAUUUAUUGGGUUUAAAGGGUGCGUAGGGGGACGCUUAAGUCAGCGGUAAAAUUGCGGGGCUCAACCUCGGCGAGCCGUUGAAACUGGCUUGCUAGAGUGGGCGAGAAGUAUGCGGAAUGCGUGGUGUAGCGGUAAAAUGCAUAGAUAUCACGCAGAACUCCGAUUGCGAAGGCAGCAUACCGGCGCCCAACUGACGCGCAGGCACGAAAGCGUGGGUAUCGAACAGGAGUAGAUACCCCAGUAUG